CAAAUAGGUAUUGUAAGAAGUUUCCUUUAUGAGGUGUGAAAAGAAAUAAGGAAAAGACCCAUUUUUUUUAUUUAUUAUUAUUUAUGAAAUGAUAUAGGAAUUUAUCAAGACAAUUAUAAAAGAAGAGAAUAGGAAACUAUAGAUCAUUCCACCCUAGAGUAUUCGGCCAACCCAUUAUAAGUAGAAAAGAAAGAAAAGUUGUUAUUCCUUUUCAUCACACCAAGCCACUAGCCCAUAUAGUUGUAUAGGGAGAGUAACGUGGGGAAGGAGGACAAGAACAAGGGUUGUUCAAUUGUGUAAAGAACUAGAGGUGACAAGGUUUUCUUGCUAGAGUGUUCUUGAUUCAACAAUCAAGAGAGGUGUGUAACAAGGUGAUGGGGUCCGCGGCUUGGGUCGUGUGACAGGGAGGCUUGACUCGUGGGUCUACGGCGUGGCUCGCUCGUGGGUGCGACGGGGCUUGCGGCGGUGGGUCUACGGCGUGGGUGCGGCGGUGCUUGAGCUCACGAUCUCCGAGUAUAUCUUCCAUGGAAGCCGAAGAAGAUUGACAGAUGGAGCUAGCUCGGUGGUUAGUGAUCUGCCCAUUUUUCUUAAGAAUCCAAGCCCACCAAAAUCAUCCUUCAAUGAGGAAAGGAUACACAGACUUCUAUUGUUGUCACCGGAUGACUCUUAUAGAAAAAUGUGCACUGCAAUUAGUAUGGCUAUUGCAACGAUUGCACUUCAAUAUUGGCCUGACUUGUUGCCAUAUCUCCUGAAGUUAAUUAAUGACCAGACAAAUAGGGAUGGAGUUCAUGGAGCUUUGAGGUGCUUGGCUCUUCUCUCUGAUGACUUGGACGAUAAAGUGAUGCCCACAUUAGUACCUAUUUUGUUCCCAUGCUUGCUUACUAUUGUUUCAUCCACUCAGGUUUGUUUGUGUUAUAUUUUGGUUCCCAUUUUGGCAGCUCUUUAGAAUCCUAUAUUAAGUGUAUUUUGAUGUUUUUUAAUUUUAAUUUAAUUUUAUUUUUUAAGGGGUGUUAUUUAAGGAAAUUUGAAAUAAGCAUAAAUAGUCAAUUAUGCUUUUGAGUUCACAUUAGUAUUUGCACAUGUGCAUAACAAUGUUAAUUUUGAGUCAUUUGCUUUAUUAAACAAAUGAGUGAGGUAAAGAGGCCAAAUGAAUGAGAAUUUUAUGUCAAAACUUCGCGAGGAAUUUGAUGGUUCAAGUAAAAGUUUAAAUUGCUUACCAAAUGACUGAAUCGUACUUGCAUUUUUGUCUGUUUGCAAUCUCUGGGCAUCUUAUUUAUUUCUUUAGCUAAAGGUGGGUAAUAUGCAUAGUGAUUAGUAGUUGUCUCAGAAGCGUAAUCUAUUAUAAAGUGAGCAAAGUUAAGUCUAUACUCCGACACAACACUCCCUUUUCUUGUGUGAGCUGAACAGUAGGUAAAUUCAUUUGAAAUAUUAAUUGGCAACACUUAACAAUCAAUAUAUUACGAUAUGCUCUAGAAAGAUUUGAAAGCUAAAUGCAUGGGGUAAUUCCUUAAAGAUUAAUUUAUGGGUUUGAUUUUCAUUUAUGUUGUCCAUGUUAUUUCUUAAUUUGUUUAAAGAUGAUGGCUAUUCUUUGCUAAUCAUCAAUUUUCUUAAGAAAAAAUCAUGAUUUACAACGAGUAUUUACAUGAUUUUGUUAUGUAGAAAUGAAAAUGAAUUUUUAUGCUGAUGAUUUUUUUCCCUGUGCUCUCUGAUUUAUUUCCUUUAAAAGAUUAUCAUGGAUUGUGCUAGAGUUAAUGAACUAUUAUUUGGUGGCUUGCAUAAAUAGUUUCCAUUAUUUGUGGGCAGAAGGCUCCAUUUUUUUUGUUGUUGCAAUUGUCAUUGAACAUUAUAGUGUUGACAUGCUAGUGGUAUUCAUUGUUAAAGUUUUGUUCUCUACAUUCUUAGUUUCUGGUUGAUAGAAGGAAAACCAUAUUACACUGAGUUCCACUUUAUCUUCUAUUGUACGGUUUGUUUGUGGAGGUGUAUGACAAAUAUUUACGUGCAAAAGAUCUUUCAAUUAUUUAUUCUUGUAUCUCCAUGCUGGGUGCAAUGAGUGGUGUUUAUAGGGUAUUUUCUUCAUUAUGUUUUAAUUAUUGCCCAUUGAUGUGAUUUGGAUGAUUGAAUUAUAUAUUACAUUAAAAAAUAACACUUAUUUAAAAGUGCUAUUAAUAAGCAAUUAAAAAAACACACAACCCCAUAUGUGAAAUUUCAUUUGGCGCCAUAUGAAAUAUAUAACUAGGCGCCAAAUGAAAAUAAGAGACACGGAAGAACACAGUAAACUAGUCUCAGCCUCCGAACCCCUAAGCCUCCAUUGAAUCCCUAAUUUCUAGUUUCAUCUCUUUGCCUCUCUUUCUUUCUUUCUUUCGUCUCUUUGCCUCUCUUUGCUUCUCUUUGCUUCUCUUUCUUUCUGGUUUCCUAGUCUCUUUCUUUGCUUCUCAGCUUCUCUUUCUUGCUUCUCAGCUUCUCUUUCUUUCUCUUUUUUUUUCGUCUACACAACCACGUUAUUCUCCUCCACUCACUCUCAUCUACACAACCACUCACUCACUAAUUUAUGGUUUCGUCUCGUCAUUCUCUGCCUCACGCGAGUCUCUGGAGCACACGACGUCGGUGAGAGCUUCCGGAGUACACAACGGAGGUCAUUUUUCUGGUUGUCUCGUCUAUCUCUGUCUCACAUAAUGAUUCUCCCCUGCUGGAAGCAAGAACAUCAUUGUGAGGCACUUAUUUUUGCGAAAGAAUUAGCUAUGCCUGGAAAUGGACAGAAAGAGUCAAAUUUGAGCAAGAAAAACGCUCACAAACUCAAUGAUUUAUAAGGUCGUUGAGCAUGGUCUGGGACAUCUGCCAUUUACAGAAAAAUAGGUGGUCACUCCAACUGAAAAUAGGGCUGCAAUGGAAGCUGAGAGAAGAGAAGCAAAAGAGGCUGCUGAAAGGGAGGCCAAUGAAGCGUCAAGCCAGGCUGCUGUUCAGAAGGAAGCUUUAGGAUUGCAAACUAAAGCCAAAACCAAGGAAUCUGAAUUUGAAAAACCAAUAAAUUCAGCAUCAGCAGGGGAUAUUGGUGGUAGGUGACAUUACUAAAGCUGCAGAAGCUGCACUAAAGUUGGAGCAUGAAAGAUUAAAAAAGUUGGAAGACUUGGAUGAAGGAAACAAGGCAUUAGGAUUGAAUGUAAAUAAGGAGGUUUCUACUGGUGUGAAAAAGUUAUUGAGGGAAUCGUCUGGCCAGUACAGCGACUUCAAUAUUCUUUCCUCUUUAAAUUCUUAGGUGUGUAGAUGUGACUGGAGCUUACAGUGCUCUAAAGACGGAGCUUAACAUAAGCUUGACAGCAAUAGGCCUUUUGUGGACUACAACUGGCUUUAUUGCAAAGAGGAUUACACAUGGACCUGUGGAAGAAAGGGAAUCAGGUAUAUGACAAGUGCACAACAAAUGGACUCACAACAAAGACAAGUGCACAAAGGAUGAUGAAUUGAAGGAUGGAGCAAGUUUCAUGCAUGGUUUACUUUUGUGUAUCUUGUAAUUUUUUGUUUUUCAUUUUUGAAGUAAAAAAUGUUCAAGAUUAUAAAACUUUAUUAUGUUAUGCUUUCAAACUUAAGUUAGAACUAAGAUCUCAUGAAAUAGACACAUUCAGAGUUUGAAUUAGUUAUUGUUUAA
This is an RNA transcript of Humulus lupulus (European hop), 3640 nucleotides long. It is a transcript of the gene named mRNA export factor GLE1-like, with no coding region annotated. The transcript is spliced from 12 exons. The record is from RefSeq and is a predicted model, not a curated record. Lineage: Eukaryota; Viridiplantae; Streptophyta; Magnoliopsida; Rosales; Cannabaceae.